UUUUAGUGCGACCAACGCUUGGUCUCUCAGACAGCUUGAUUUACAGUAGGUCAUUGUUGAUGAUGGGGUCCAAAAUGAACAUGUUGUUUAAAGUGAUUUUGCUCUGGACACUUAUCCAAGAAUGCAGGGGGCAGUACACACUGACUCAGACUCCAUCAGUAUUACCUGCUGCUCCUGGACAAACAGUCUCCCUGAACUGUCAAGUCAGCAGUAAAGUUCAUGGCAACAACAAAUUGCACUGGUACCAUCAGGUAUCUGGAGAGCCUCCUAAACUCCUGAUUAGGUAUGCCAGCACUCUCCAGUCAGGCACUCCAUCUCGAUUCAGUGGCAGUGGAUCUGGAAGUGCUUUCACUCUGACCAUCAGUGGAGUCCAGACUGAAGAUGCAGGAGAUUACUACUGUCAGAGUCUCCAUAUCCCCAACAGUGUGUAUGUGUUCACACAGUGAUACAGAGCCGUACAAAAACCUCCCUCUGUAAGAGUACACAUGACUGCACUGCUGCUGCUGAGACUCUGAGCAGGUGUGAAGGGGGUGUUUAGUAGAGUAGUACAUUACAUGUCUUGUGUUGUCAGCACCUCCAAUUGUCAAACUAUUUAU
Molecule: non-coding RNA, 596 nt
Organism: Sardina pilchardus (European sardine)
Lineage: Eukaryota; Metazoa; Chordata; Actinopteri; Clupeiformes; Clupeidae
Source: the annotation of a RefSeq genome assembly